CCUGCGCGGGUCCCGCCUCCGCGCUUCCGGUCUUGCGGUCUUGCGCCCUUGGUGUCUGAGACGCUCUGAGGCCUGGGUGUCUUCGAGGCGAAGCCUUGGUAAAGUCAGGAAAGGAUAUGUGAACACAGUAUUUUGCCUAUGACCAGAGGAGAUUCAUGGAUCCCCAGAACCCAUCUGCAGACUCCUAUGGGGGGAGCCACGGACCCAAGAUUAGGAAACCGUGGAUUUUAGAUAUUUUUAAAACUGGAGAGAACAAGUGAUGCAUAACAAUCUGUAAGACACUGUGUGGCUUCUCUUGUGGACCAUUUCACCUGAGCUUGAACAAUUCAAAGGACGGAAAGCUAUCUCAGGAGAUCCUAGUUCUGUUGCUGGGCAACCUCUUCUAUUGGAAUGUCUUCCUUCUAUUUGUUGGAACAAGCUAUAUAACAAGACAGUUAUCCAAAAUGGUUUUCUGUUGUCUAAAUAAGAAGAUAAAAAGGGUCCAUGUUGGGGUGCUGGUCUGACUCUGAGCACUGGACGUGGGAAGACUCCUUACCAGUCUUUAGCUCCAAUUCCACAUUUUCAACUACCUACUGGGGAACCACCCACGUGGAUAAUCUGCCUGCACCUUUCCUACUCCCGAACAGGAAUAGCCUCGGAGCUUGUAGAGCAGGCUGACGUAUAAUGAGAGCUCAAAGAAGACUGGGAAGACUAAGAACAAAGGGAAGAGGAAAAGGAGAAAAGGGAUCAAGCUGACGGGGGUGUCCUGUGGCUAUAAGAUCUUCUCAGAAUACCAGUCAAAAUAUUCUCAAAGAAACUAUACCGAGUACCGAGACUGUGAUGAAAAUUGAUUCUACAGUUUCUGUUUUUCCUGUACUAGGAGUAGGAUGAGAAUUAUGAGGAAUAUAAAAACAAAUAUGAUACAUUAUAAGGAGGCAUCACAAAAUGUACUUUAAUUAUUAUGCUUGCUAAUUUGGUAUAUAAACACAUCAAAAUUAUAUAAAUACAUUAACUAGCCUUACACAAUAGAGUAUACAGGCACUAAAAUAUUUAUAGCAGACUGUCUCUAUAUUUAUAUACAUAUAUAUAUAAAAAAUAAUGCAUCAAGACUAUGGAAAGAGCCUAGUAUUAGAGCAUUACUUUGUGGGAAAAUCAGAUUCAACUCUGUAUUAUUUCAACAUAUAGUAUGUAAGAGUAAAGUCUGAUAAAGUUCAACUAAGCUAAAAAAUUACUAUAAGCAAGUGUUUAAACAGUAACACCAAUUACCAGGUUACUUUACUGCAUUUCUAAUGAGUUAUUAAAAAACAAAAAAGGGGCACCUGGGUGGCUCAGUUGGUUAAACAGUCUGUCUUCAGCUCAGGUCAUAAUCUUGGGGUCCUGGGACUGAGCCCUGUGUCGGGUUCCCUGAUCAGUGGGGAGUCUGCUUCUCCCUCUCCCUCUACCCCUCCCUCUGCUUGUUUUCUCUCUCAAAUAAAUAAAUAAAAUCUUUAAAACAAAACAAAACAACACUGGGUCAAUUAUCAGUAUUAUAGAUGUUCUAUGUAAGGAGUACUUCAGAAUCUUUGCUAAUUUUAACAUUUAUUAAAUAAACAUGAAGGGACUAAAGGGAAAUUAAUUCCUUCACUGAUAAAUAAAUGUAUACUGUUUAAGCUCUGAUUUAAAAGGUCUUUUUCUGUGUGCUCUUGACAGCUAUUUAAGGUGUGAGUACAAAGUAUAAAUAUCCAUAAACGUUGCAGUCAUAUUGGCUCUUCAAGUCAUAUGGAGAAAUCUAAAUGAAAUGGGAAUAGAUCAUGAUGUAUUUUUACAUAU
Long non-coding RNA from Mirounga angustirostris (Northern elephant seal), 1788 nucleotides. RefSeq lists it as uncharacterized. NCBI's taxonomy places the organism in Eukaryota, Metazoa, Chordata, Mammalia, Carnivora, Phocidae. The transcript is spliced from 6 exons. The record is from RefSeq and is a predicted model, not a curated record.